Molecule: ribosomal RNA, 429 nt
Filed under: Gemmatimonadota bacterium
Lineage: Bacteria; Pseudomonadati; Gemmatimonadota
Description: Gemmatimonadetes bacterium partial 16S ribosomal RNA
Rfam family: Bacterial small subunit ribosomal RNA
Source: RNAcentral
UAGGGAAUCUUCGGCAAUGGACGAAAGUCUGACCGAGCAACGCCGCGUGAGUGAAGAAGGUUUUCGGAUCGUAAUACUCUGUUGUUAGAGAAGAACAAGGACGUUAGUAACUGAACGUCCCCUGACGGUAUCUAACCAGAAAGCCACGGCUAACUACGUGCCAGCAGCCGCGGUAAUACGUAGGUGGCAAGCGUUGUCCGGAUUUAUUGGGCAUAAUGCGAGCGCAGGCGGUUUCUUAAGUCUGAUGUGAAAGCCCCCGGCUCAACCGGGGAAUGUAAUUGGAAACUGGGAGACUUGAGUGCAGAAGAGGAGAGUGGAAUUCCGUGUGUAGCGGUGAAAUGCGUAGAUAUAUGGAGGAACACCAGUGGCGAAGGCGGCUCGCUAGACUGUAACUAACGCUGAGGCUCGAAAGCGUGGGGAGCAAACAGG